Molecule: ribosomal RNA, 253 nt
Filed under: uncultured bacterium
Lineage: Bacteria
Also listed under: 1 other name
Description: partial 16S ribosomal RNA
Rfam family: Bacterial small subunit ribosomal RNA
Source: RNAcentral
UACGAAGGGUGCAAGCGUUACUCGGAAUUACUGGGCGUAAAGCGUGCGUAGGUGGUUCGUUAAGUCUGUCGUGAAAGCCCCGGGCUCAACCUGGGAAUGGCGAUGGAUACUGGCGGGCUAGAGUGCGGUAGAGGAGAGUGGAAUUCCCGGUGUAGCAGUGAAAUGCGUAGAGAUCGGGAGGAACAUCAGUUGCGAAGGCGGCUCUCUGGACCAGCACUGACACUGAGGCACGAAAGCGUGGGGAGCAAACAGG